AAAUUGAAGAGUUUGAUCAUGGCUCAGAUUGAACGCUGGCGGCAGGCCUAACACAUGCAAGUCGAGCGGCAGCGGGAAAGUAGCUUGCUACUUUUGCCGGCGAGCGGCGGACGGGUGAGUAAUGCCUGGGGAUCUGCCCAGUCGAGGGGGAUAACAGUUGGAAACGACUGCUAAUACCGCAUACGCCCUACGGGGGAAAGGAGGGGACCUUCGGGCCUUUCGCGAUUGGAUGAACCCAGGUGGGAU
This 246-nucleotide ribosomal RNA is filed under the name Aeromonas salmonicida. RNAcentral's name for it is "partial 16S ribosomal RNA". It matches the Rfam family "Bacterial small subunit ribosomal RNA", at positions 1 to 241 of the family's 1533-position model. Lineage: Bacteria; Pseudomonadati; Pseudomonadota; Gammaproteobacteria; Aeromonadales; Aeromonadaceae. The record is from RNAcentral.